CCUANGGGUGGCAGCAGUCGAGAAUUUUUCUCAAUGGGCGAAAGCCUGAAGGAGCGACGCCGCGUGGGGGAUGAAUGGCUUCGGCCCGUAAACCCCUGUCAUUUGCGAACAAACCUCGUGAUUUAACAGAUGACGAGCUGAUUGUAGCGAAAGAGGAAGGGACGGCUAACUCUGUGCCAGCAGCCGCGGUAAUACAGAGGUCCCAAGCGUUGUUCGGAUUCACUGGGCGUAAAGGGUGCGUAGGUGGUUGGGUAAGUCUGAUGUGAAAUCUCCGGGCCUAACCCGGAAACUGCAUCGGAUACUAUUCGACGGGAGGGUUGGAGGGGGGACUGGAAUACUUGGUGUAGCAGUGAAAUGCGUAGAUAUCAAGUGGAACACCAGUGGCGAAGGCGAGUCCCUGGACAACUCCUGACACUGAGGCACGAAAGCUAGGGGAGCAAACAGGAUUAGAUACCCGANUANUC
This 464-nucleotide ribosomal RNA is filed under the name uncultured bacterium. RNAcentral describes it as "bacterial SSU rRNA". It matches the Rfam family "Bacterial small subunit ribosomal RNA", at positions 338 to 795 of the family's 1533-position model. The record is from RNAcentral.